RNAcentral lists this ribosomal RNA (544 nucleotides) under uncultured bacterium. Its description in RNAcentral is "bacterial SSU rRNA". It matches the Rfam family "Bacterial small subunit ribosomal RNA", at positions 382 to 916 of the family's 1533-position model. The record is from RNAcentral.
CCUGACGCAGCGACGCCGCGUGAGUGAGGAAGGCCUUCGGGUCGUAAAGCUCUGUCAAGAGGAAAGAAGUGCAUAAUGGUUAAUACCUGUUAUGUUUGACGGUACCUCUAAAGGAAGCACCGGCUAACUCCGUGCCAGCAGCCGCGGUAAUACGGAGGGUGCAAGCGUUGUUCGGAAUCACUGGGCGUAAAGGGCGCGCAGGCGGUAUGGUAAGUCAGAUGUGAAAGCCCACGGCUUAACCGUGGAAGGGCAUUUGAAACUGCCAGACUUGAGUACCAGAGGGGAAAGUGGAAUUCCCGGUGUAGAGGUGAAAUUCGUAGAUAUCGGGAGGAAUACCGGUGGCGAAGGCGACUUUCUGGCUGAGUACUGACGCUGAGGCGCGAAAGCGUGGGGAGCAAACAGGAUUAGAUACCCUGGUAGUCCACGCCGUAAACGAUGUCAACUAGAUGCAGGGGGUGUUGAUCCCCUCUGUGUCGCAGCUAACGCAUUAAGUUGACCGCCUGGGGAGUACGGUCGCAAGAUUAAAACUCAAAGGAAUUGACGG